This 323-nucleotide ribosomal RNA is filed under the name uncultured bacterium. Its description in RNAcentral is "bacterial SSU rRNA". It matches the Rfam family "Bacterial small subunit ribosomal RNA", at positions 29 to 334 of the family's 1533-position model. The record is from RNAcentral.
AUGAACGCUGGCGGCGUGCCUAACACAUGCAAGUCGAACGGACAUUUUUUGGAAAGCUCUUCGGAACUGGAAUCUAAAUGUUAGUGGCGGACGGGUGAGUAACGCGUGAGCAAUCUGCCUUUCAGAGGGGGAUAACAGCCGGAAACGGCUGCUAAUACCGCAUAAUGCAUUGGAUUCGCAUGUUUCUGAUGCCAAAGAUUUUAUCGCUGAAAGAUGAGCUCGCGUCUGAUUAGCUAGUUGGCGGGGUAACGGCCCACCAAGGCGACGAUCAGUAGCCGGACUGAGAGGUUGAACGGCCACAUUGGGACUGAGACACGGCCCAG